Molecule: ribosomal RNA, 497 nt
Filed under: uncultured bacterium
Lineage: Bacteria
Description: partial 16S ribosomal RNA
Rfam family: Bacterial small subunit ribosomal RNA
Source: RNAcentral
GAUGAACGCUGGCGGCGUGCCUAAUACAUGCAAGUCGAGCUAACAGACGAGGAGCUUGCUCCUCUGACGUUAGCGGCGGACGGGUGAGUAACACGUGGAUAACCUACCUAUAAGACUGGGAUAACUUCGGGAAACCGGAGCUAAUACCGGAUAAUAUAUUUAACCGCAUGGUUCAAUAGUGAAAGACGGUUUUGCUGUCACUUAUAGAUGGAUCCGCGCCGCAUUAGCUAGUUGGUAAGGUAACGGCUUACCAAGGCAACGAUGCGUAGCCGACCUGAGAGGGUGAUCGGCCACACUGGAACUGAGACACGGUCCAGACUCCUACGGGAGGCAGCAGUAGGGAAUCUUCCGCAAUGGGCGAAAGCCUGACGGAGCAACGCCGCGAGAGUGAUGAAGGUAUUCGGAUCGUAAAACUCUGUUAUUAGGGAAGAACAAAUGUGUAAGUAACUAUGCACGUCUUGACGGUACCUAAUCAGAAAGCCACGGCUAACUACGUG